AAUGAACGUUGGCGGCAUGGAUUAGGCAUGCAAGUCGAGCGAGAAAUCUUAGUUUGAAACUUCGGUCGAUUUCUAAGGUGGAAAGCGGCGAAAGGGAGAGUAACGCGUAGUUACCUACCCCAGGGUCCGGAAUAGCUGCGGGAAACUGCAGGUAAUGCCGGAUAAUAUCCCCGGAUCAAAGGUGUGAUUCCGCCCUGGGAGGGGACUGCGUCCUACUAGCUUGUUGGUGGGGUAACGGCCUACCAAGGCAACGAUGGGUAGCGGGCGUGAGAGCGUGGCCCGUCUCACUGGGACUGAGACACUGCCCAGACACCUACGGGUGGCUGCAGUCGAGAAUCUUCGGCAAUGGGCGAAAGCCUGACCGAGCGAUGCCGCGUGCGGGAUGAAGGCCCUCGGGUUGUAAACCGCUGUCAGUUGGGAGGAAGGCUCUGUGAAGAGCAGAGCUUGACCUAUCUUCAGAGGAAGUACGGGCUAAGUUCGUG
Molecule: ribosomal RNA, 482 nt
Filed under: uncultured bacterium
Lineage: Bacteria
Description: bacterial SSU rRNA
Rfam family: Bacterial small subunit ribosomal RNA
Source: RNAcentral